Molecule: ribosomal RNA, 253 nt
Filed under: uncultured bacterium
Lineage: Bacteria
Description: partial 16S ribosomal RNA
Rfam family: Bacterial small subunit ribosomal RNA
Source: RNAcentral
UACGGAGGGUGCAAGCGUUAUCCGGAUUCACUGGGUUUAAAGGGUGCGUAGGCGGGUAUAUAAGUCCGUGGUGAAAGCUCCGGGCUUAACUUGGAAACUGCCAUUGAUACUGUAUAUCUUGAAUGUCGUUGAGGUUAGCGGAAUGUUGCAUGUAGCGGUGAAAUGCUUAGAUAUGUUACAGAACACCAAUUGUGAAGACAGCUAACUAAGCGAUGAUUGACGCUGAGGCACGAAAGCGUGGGGAGCAAACAGG